GUGAGGAAUAUUGGGCAAUGGGCGAAAGCCUGACCCAGCCACGCCGCGUGAGUGAUGAAGGCCUUCGGGUUGUAAAGCUCUGUGGGGAGGGAAGAAAAAGCGCAGGAGUAACUGCCUGUGUGUUGACGGUACCUCCUUAGCAAGCACCGGCUAACUCUGUGCCAGCAGCCGCGGUAAUACAGAGGGUGCAAACGUUGCUCGGAAUUACUGGGCGUAAAGCGCGUGUAGGCUGACAUGCAAGUCGGGUGUGAAAUCCCAGGGCUCAACCUUGGAACUGCACUCGAAACUGCACGUCUUGAGUACUGGAGAGGGAAGCGGAAUUCCGGGUGUAGAGGUGAAAUUCGUAGAUAUCCGGAGGAACACCAGUGGCGAAGGCGGCUUCCUGGACAGUAACUGACGCUGAGACGCGAAAGCGUGGGGAGCAAACAGGAUUAGAAACCAGGGUAGUCC
RNAcentral lists this ribosomal RNA (450 nucleotides) under uncultured bacterium. RNAcentral's name for it is "bacterial SSU rRNA". It matches the Rfam family "Bacterial small subunit ribosomal RNA", at positions 354 to 796 of the family's 1533-position model. The record is from RNAcentral.